This 3306-nucleotide ribosomal RNA is filed under the name Ambystoma mexicanum (axolotl). RNAcentral's name for it is "eukaryotic LSU rRNA". It matches the Rfam family "Eukaryotic large subunit ribosomal RNA". Lineage: Eukaryota; Metazoa; Chordata; Amphibia; Caudata; Ambystomatidae. The record is from RNAcentral.
CAGCUGCGCCAGAGGCACAGGGCUGGGGCAACCCCCCAUACUGGCACGAGGCCAGCUGCCCCGAGCUUUGUGCUCCCCGACUACGGCCUCAGAUCAGAUGUGGCGACCCGCUGAAUUUAAGCAUAUUACUAAGCGCAGGAAAAGGAACUUAGCAGGAUUCCCUCGGUAAUGGUUCCCUCAGUAACGGCCAGUGAAGAGGGAAGAGCACUGCGCCAAAUCCCUGUUCAGCGGCGUGCGUUGGAAAAGUGGCGUACAGAAGACAGACUCCUGGCAUCGCUCAGGGGGCUCAAGUCCUUCUCAUCGAGUCUCACCCCGCGAACAGUGUUAGGCCAGUAGCGGCCUCUGGUACGCCGGGAUCGGGUCUUCUCGGGGUCGGGGGCAGGUGGCUCUCCGCUCCGGCAGAGAGUGUUACAGCCCCCUGACAGCAGUUUAGCUGUGUCCGUGGGGCCGAGGGAGGUUGACAGCCACUGUGCCCUUCUCCAGCAACCAUCCUGACCUCUCUUGGGGGUCGCUGAGGCGGCGACGGAAGACUGGGCUCCCGAUGCGACUGUGGUGGACUGCCCUCAGUGCGCCCUGACCACGUAAUGCCGCGGGCAGGGAGGCCCACAAAGGGCACCAGGGGUCUGAUGUGAUGUUGGUUACCCACCGGACCUUUCUUGAAACACGGACCAAGGAGUCUAACACGUGCACGAGUCGGAGGGCCGAACAAAACCCUGUGGUGCAAUGAAGGUGAGGGCCGGCGCGUGCUGAUUGCGGUGGAAUCCUUUCCCGGUGGGCGCACCACCAAGCCGUCUCGCCCGCUCUGUCAGGGGGAUGAAGUAUGAGCGUGUGUGAUAGGGACUGAUAGAUGGUGAACUAGCUCUGGUGGAGGGCCGUAGCAGUCCUGAUGUGUAAAUCGGUUAUCUGACCUGGGUAUAGGGGCGAAAAACGAAUCAAACCAUCUAGUAGCUGGUUCCCUCCGUAGUUUCCCACAUGAUAGCUGGCGCAUGGAAAACCCAGUUUUAUCUGGUAAAGCAAAUGAUUAGACCUCUUGGGGCCAAAAUGAUCUCAACCUAUUCUCAAACUUUAAAUGGGUAAGAAUCCCAGCUCGCUGGCGUGGAGGCGGACUUUAAAUGCAAGUGCCCUGUGGCCCACUUUUGGUAAGCAGAACUGACGCUGUGGGACGAACUGAACGCUGGGUUAAGGCGCCUGAUGCCAACGCUCAUCCGACACCAUUGUGGUGAUUCAUUGCUAAUGUGAUGUUUGUAUAUGUGGUAUAAAUGUUCCAUGAAGAAUGGUUUGUAUGGAGUAAUUGAAUUGUUUUUUGUAUGAUCAAUUGUUGUGCUUUAUGUGGUUCUAUUUUUCUAAUUUUCCAAAAAGAAUUUCAAUUUUGAUGUAAAAUAAAUGUAUAUGUAUUUUUGUAUUUCGUUGUACUUUAACUAUUCUUUCAAGAUAUAAGUAUGCGUUUUCUAUUUAGGAAUACGUAUAGGGUCUCAGUAUUACACCUGUAUUUUAUUAGUUUGGUGUCCUAUCUCUUUGUUUAAAUAUAGCUAGAGCAUCUGGCCCAUACCCAGCCAGCGCUGAGAGCCGUGGGAGCUUAGUCGUGACAAGUAGGAGGGCUGCUGCGAUGCGCACGGAAGCCCGGGGGGAGUGCCCGGGUGGAGUCGCUGCAGGUGCAGAUCUUGGUGGUAGUAGCAAAUAUUCAAACAAGAAAGUGUGAAGGCAAAAGUGGAGAAGGGUUCCAUGUGAACAGCAGUUGAACAUGGGCCAUUAGGUCCUAAGAAAUGGUUGAGUGCUGUUCGGAAGGGACGGGCGAUGGCCUCCAUUGCACUCAGCCAAUCGAACGGGAGUCGGGUUGAGAUCCCUGAACCCGGAGUGGCGGAGACGGGCUCUCUUGCGGCAUCCAGUGCGAACUCAAACUUUCCCAGAGAUGCUGGCGGGAUCCCGAGGGAGAGUUUUCUUUGUGUAGGGCUGGGUACUCUGGAAUGGGUUCGCCCGAGAGAAGGGUGUAAGCCUUGGAAAGCGUUGCUGUUCCGGCAGCGGCCGGUGACCACUCGCUAUUCCUUCAAAUCCAGUGGAGAUGUGUAGCUCUGGAUGUGAGCCAGGCUCUUCCUGUGGAACGCCCCAGCUGCAGUGGUCGCAUCUAGCCAUUCCGCUCCAGGGUUCAGGUUGGUGUUCUGCCUCGGCUGAUGACUAGCAGCUGACUUAGAACUGGUGCGGACCAGGGGAAUCCGACUGUUAAAUUAAAACAAAGCAUUGCGUAAGGCCCACGGUGGGUGUUGACACGAUUUUCUGCCCAGUGCCCUGAAUGUCAGUGAAGAAAUUCAAUGUAGCAUGGGUAAACGGCGAGAGUAACUAUGACUCUCUUAAAGUAGCCAAAUGCCUCCUCAUCUAAUUAGUGACGCGCAUGAAUGGAGGAACAAGAUUUCACCUGUCCUUACCUAUUAUUAUCUAGCGAAACCACAACCAAGGGAACGGGCUUGGCAGAAUCAGUGAUUCACUCUUGUCUGGCACUGUGAAGAGACAUGAGAGGUGUAGGAUAAGUGGGAGGCCCUGGGGUCGCCGGUGAAAUACCACUACUAUCGUUUUUUCACUUUCCCUGUGAGGGAGCCCUGACUUCAGUGCUCACGACACUGUCCAGGGACAGUGGCAGGUAGGGAGUUUGACUGGGGCGGUACACCUGGCAAACCAUAACGCAGGUGCCCUUAGGCGAGCUCAGGAAGGACAGAAAUCUCCCACGGAGCAGAAUGGCAAAAGCUUGCUUGAUCUCGAUUUUCAUUAUGAAUACAGACAUGAAAUUGGGGCCUCAGGAUCCUUCUGACUCUUUGGGUUUCAAACAGGAGGGGUCAGAAAGUUAUCAGAGGGAUAAGUGGCUUCUGGCGGCCAAGUGUUCACAGCGACGUCACUUUUUGAUCCUUCGAUGUUGGCUCUUCCUAUCAUUGUGAAGCAGAAUUCACCAAGCGUUGUAUUGUUCACCCACUAAUAGGGAACAUGAGCUGGGUUUAGACAGUCGUGAGACAGGUUAGUUUGACCCUACGGAUGAUGUGAUGUUGCAAUAGUAAUCCUGCUCCGUACGAGAGGAACCACAGAUUCAGACAAUUGUUGUAUGUGCUUGGCUGAAGAGCCAAUGGGGCAAAGCUACCAUCUGUGUGAUUACGACUGAGCGCUUUGAAGUCAGAAUCCGCCCCUAACCGUAACAGUACUGCAGCACUGUGGAGCCUCAGUUUGCCUAGGAUAGCCGGACUCUGAGCUGGUGUGUAGAGAAGCUCGCCUCCGGACUUGUGUGUGAACAGAAGGGGAACACCUCUUUCGCCCGUAGUGCACUGC